This 1159-nucleotide ribosomal RNA is filed under the name Neogloboquadrina pachyderma. RNAcentral's name for it is "SSU rRNA". It matches the Rfam family "Eukaryotic small subunit ribosomal RNA", at positions 1139 to 1812 of the family's 1831-position model. Lineage: Eukaryota; Foraminifera; Rotaliida; Globorotaliidae. The record is from RNAcentral.
UAACUUUAAAGGAAUUGACGGAAGGGCACCACAAGAACGCGUGGAGCAUGUGGCUUAAUUUGACUCAACGCGGGAAAUCUUACCGGGUCCGGACACACUGAGGAUUGACAGGCAAUAUCUCGACUGUUUAAUAAUAAUAACCGCUUUAUUAAUAAACGGUUUAUUAUUAAACAGAUCGAGUGUUAAAUAUGCUAGUCCUUUCAUGAUUAUGUGAUAGGUGGUGCAUGGCCGUUCUUAGUUCGUGGAGUGAUCUGUCUGCUUAAUUGCGUUUCACUAAGGGCCCAUAAAUACAAGGUAUGUUAGCAAUCGUCGCUCUAUGGACCCCUUAUUUCGGUUUAUUAAUAAACUGUUAUAAGCGCGCGUCUUGUUUAAAGAGUUUAAGACACUGCGCAUGCUGUUGGGCUCUGAAAGCAACGAACGUGACCGCAACGUCUUGUUGCCUUAAUCAAGUCGGCUGUUUAAUCUGUUUAAUUAAACAGACAGCAGUCAUUAUAUGGCUUAUCCGAGGCUAUUUAAAACUAGACGAACCGCUGUUUCUUUUCUUAAACCAGAGGAAGGUUGCGGCAAUAACAGGUCUGUGAUGCCCUUAGAUGUUCCGGGCUGCACACGUGCUACAAUGAUCAGUACAGUGAGCAUCUCAAUUAUAAUACACACCGUUUAUUAGCGCUUAAACGCGGUUAAUGGAUCGUUAUUUGUUUAACGAGCUGUUUAAUCGUAUAUGUUUAAUGUGCGCGGUAAAGCCUGCUUCGAGAGUAAGCGGGUAAUCCAUUGGAAGUAUUGAUUUCUCUAUUUAAAGUGCACAACUAUGCACGGCGGUUAUUCCCGAGGCGGCUAGUUCUGUCUUUUAGUGUGAAUAUCCGUUAUUUAAACGUGCGUGCAAUUGUCAAUUCAUGGUGGGGACAGACCAUUGUUAACUGUUGGUCUCGGUCUUAACUAGGAAUGCCUUGUACGGGUCUUUGGUUCAACAAACCACCCGGAAUACGUCCCUGCCCUUUGUACACACCGCCCGUCGCUCUUACCGAUGAACUUGUUUGUGAGUCUAAGGGACUGGGUUAAACCACUCGAUCGUUUAUUCGUUCGGAUGGCAGUACCUAUGGAAACUUAUGCGAACAAAGUGGUUUAAAGGAAAGAGAAGUCGUAACAAGGCAACAGUAGGUGA